GGAGGAUGUAACAAGUUCUGCCUGGGAUCGAAUCCUAGUUUUACUCCUUCUAGAGACAAACAUAGAAACACCUAACCUCAGAUCUUCAUCAAAGACCUCCCAGAGAUCCAACCCAGGCAGCAUCAAGGGAUCUUAGCCAUCAUCAACUCCACACUUUCUCCCAUAGGCUUGGCCUGCAGCUGCCCACGUGAACC
Choloepus didactylus (southern two-toed sloth) is the source of this 194-nucleotide long non-coding RNA. RefSeq lists it as uncharacterized. The transcript has 3 exons. Lineage: Eukaryota; Metazoa; Chordata; Mammalia; Pilosa; Megalonychidae. The record is from RefSeq and is a predicted model, not a curated record.